UGUUACGGAAACAAAUUCUCAGUGGAAAAUUUUUUUUGUUUCACAAUUCUGCUUUUUGUUACUUACUUUUGUGCUCAGUUUGGUUUUUCACAUUUAGUGGAACGAAAAAGAAAUAUUUACUGACCAUUUUACCAUAGAGUAAAAUUAAAGUUGAUCUGGAAAAUCAGGAAAAGAAAAAAAACAAGAAAAUUGAAAAUAAAACAAAGAAAAAAUUAAACGUUUCAACGCAUUGAAAAAUAAACGGCAAAUUCGAAAAAUUCACCAGAAAUUAUAAAUAAAUAAGAAAAAACGAGAAAGGAGAAAAACUGUUCAUAUUAUAAUUUUCUUUUGCAUACUUUUUAAUUUUGCAAAGAAAACACAACUUUUAAAAAAUAUUUCCAAAAAAAAAAAAGCGAAACACAAACAAAGAAGAACAUAGAAUGCACAAUACCCUAAAGCUGGUCCAUAAUUAAAAGUUUCGUCGAGAAUAAAAAAUAAAAAGCAGUGGAAAAAUAUUAAAGAGAAUACGACACGAAAAAAUACUAAAAUAAAAAUUCCUUAAAUAAAACAAAAAAAUCAUAAACCAACUUGAAAACAAUAAGUGUAAAUAAUUUUUAAAAGCCCCAUAACCGUAUAACCAAGACUAAAAUAGUAAUACAUAAUAAUAACAAUACCGCCUCCAACAAUAUUCUGUUUUAAAUUUUUUUAACACGACAUUGUCCUUUAAAAUGUUUUUACUAGGUAUACUAUAAAAACAAUUAAAUAGAAAACGAAUUAAAAUACAAAUUAUAAGUAUAUAACAAGUAAAACGUUUGAACAACUUCAAAUUACAAAUACUAAAUUUAAACUAAAAUAAUAAUAAUUAAAAAAGAAGUGUAGGAAACAAAAAGGAAGAAGAAAAAUAAUAAUAACUAUCAAAUAUUUCUCCUAUACAUUGGCACACCAUCAACAG
This is a long non-coding RNA of Condylostylus longicornis, 931 nucleotides long. RefSeq lists it as uncharacterized. The transcript is spliced from 3 exons. NCBI's taxonomy places the organism in Eukaryota, Metazoa, Arthropoda, Insecta, Diptera, Dolichopodidae. The record is from RefSeq and is a predicted model, not a curated record.